CCUUCCCUCAUCCAGAUAUUAAAAAUAAUAUAACUAGUCUUAUGUCGCUCAACAUCGUCGGAAGUAUCGAAGGACUCAUUCAAUACUUAAAGCAUGUUCUUUGGCUGAGCAUCUACAAACUUGCGACUGAACUCAUCGUUCAUCACAGUCUGCAUAAUGCAAUGCAUCAUGGUACGAUUGUUGAGCCACUUCUGAAAAAUA
Molecule: long non-coding RNA, 201 nt
Filed under: Elaeis guineensis (African oil palm)
Lineage: Eukaryota; Viridiplantae; Streptophyta; Magnoliopsida; Arecales; Arecaceae
Description: long non-coding RNA (EGUI_LNC009999)
Source: RNAcentral